UUUAAAUAUAUAUAUAAACUCAGAAAAUAUUCUCGUUUCAGUAAACAAUAAUGUGGAUCACACUUUAUUUAAUUGAUUAUCAACAGAAUACAUCAUUUUGAUGUUUAUGAUCAAGGACAGAAAAUUGAUAGCCUAUUGAUUAUCAUCAGAAAAACUGUCAAAUAAUUUUAGUAAAUAGUGAUAUAGAUAAACCACAUGUGUGUUGAUUGUCAUCAGAUCACAAUAAUUCACUAAUCAUCACCACAGAUUGGUUAUUAAAGGGUUAAACUGUACAGAAAACUGUACAAGUGCUCACCAGAUGAAGAAAAUACUUAAACUUCUGUUUUUUGCAAUGAUUUAUGAAAUAACUUUCAGGUAGAGUUUUAAUUUAUUAACUUUUUUAAAGUGCAUGACUGAAAAUGUCCCUUUGAUUUCCUGUUCACACGCUCUUCCUCUUUCCAUGCUUUACGUCCUUCUUCAAAAACACUCACCUACGUACUCGCAGUAUUUGUUUUGUUAGUUUAUAUGAAACACAGAAUGUCGGAAGAACUGGAAGCUCAGUCUGACGUCAAGAAGAAGGUUCAGUUUGAUCUGGACUACAAGGAAAGCAUCGUGGACAUCUAUAUGAGCACAGAAAGCCUGAGGGUGCACGAUCGCCCCUGGGUGGAGGCGACUCCACCAACCCCACCAAGACACCCAGACUCUCCCCCAUCUGUGUCAUUUGGGGGUGAAAAUAGUAGAAGGAGUCCUGUCCAAGUAUUUUUGGCUGUAAUGUGUCUUAUUCUGACCAUUUGGAUAAUCAUCCUGACUGUCCAAGAACAUGUAGACCGAAACAAUUUGGAAAGGGUGAACCGUUUACUGUCAAACCUCACAGAAAUUUGGACAUCAAGUAAUGAAGCAAAGUGACUCACAUAAUGGCGUGCAAGAGACUGAGAAAACAAUCUAAGGUAUAGCGAUGUAUCAUCACAUUCAAAAAGAUAAAGAAUCCACUUUUACUCUUUUUUAUUCUUUUGCUUAAAAAAAGAAAAAAGAAAACACUAAAUGUGCAAUGCCACAAUGUUCCUGUAUUAUUAUUUCCAUGAAAACGUUGAUUGUUCCUGCAAACUAUUUGUACCUUCAUGUACUAUGGUAAUCUUGAUUGUUGCUGUUUUUAUUUGUUUUCAUAUGUUCCUGUUUUCUUCCAUUUAGUUAGAAAACCUGAACAUCUGGAUUAGUAACAGGAAAUCACCGAAGAUAAAUGAUUUGGACGAUUGUGUGACACAAAUAUUUGUUGGAAUUCAAUUAUUGGUGUUUCUGUCUCUUGUAGUUUUGGCACUUUGCACUUCAUAUAAUUAACACCAAAUGUUGUAAAUCAGGUCAAAUCUUCUUGCAGUGACUUCAGUUUUUAUUCGAAUUAUUAUUUUUAUUUACAAUUAUUAUAAAUUCUAUUAUUUUCACACUUUUAACAUGUCUUUCAAGUUUAGGAUUUGUACUUUCAAGGUUUUUUUUUCUUCCAAAAUAUACAAUCUGUAAUUUAAUUCACUUUUUUGACCUUAUAGUUGUAUAUACUGUUUCAGAAAUGUCACUUUAAAAAUAAAUUUUACUGUGUCCAAAAUAAUUUAUUUUGCGCGUUUGUUCUAUUUUUUUCAUUCUUUUAUCUUUUGAGAACAGUUUUUAGAAUGUUUACGUGGGAAAAUAUUUCUUUCCUUUGAUCUUUUAUUUAGUUUCUAAAUAGUUCUCAAGGAAUACUAUCUAUUUAAAUUGAAACGUUAAAGUGUGUGGUCAUCUGCUUUUAAGAAAUGACAGAAACGUAUAAAAUUGCUGUAGAAAAAAUAUGAGGAAAAUAAUGAGAAAAUUUGACAUGUCUGCUGGUUUGUAUAGAAUGUGAUCAGCCCUGAGUUUAUUGUUAACAAAAAUCAUAAAAAUGCAGAGUAAUGAAUCAUGUUAGUUUAAUUUGUAACUUGAAAAAAUCACUGAACUGAAGACCAGACUAGGAGGAUCUAUGCAUCUGCUUAGGUCAGGAUUUCCAUCCAUCUUCUAAAGCUGCUUGAUCCCUAGGGUCACAUGGUUGCUGGAGCCUAUCCUAGCUACUAGUGGGUGAACCAAAUAAAUCGCUUUUUUGAAUUUUGAAAACGAACACUGGCACAGGUCAAUCUUGGAUGAAGCCCAUAAAGUGUGUUAAGGAAAAUUGUUCAAGAGAUUACUACAAAUUUGAGCUCUAAUACCAUAAUAGUAAUUUCUUCAUGGAAAAAUUAUGGCUGGUUUAGAGCAUUUAGGCAAACACACUGGACAAUCUCCACAGUCCCCUACUAAACUGCACUGCAAAAAUGAUGCCUCUACUUUUGACCCACCCUUCACACACCUUGUCAUAUGCCCUAAACAUAAACAACUGUAUAAGUCAGAAUUUAAGUGAGUUAUAGACCCACUCUGAUGAAAAUGAAAUACUGUUCAUAAAGAAAAUCAGGCUCAAAAUUAAAUUUCUAAUUAUAUCUUUAUAAAAAUUGUUGUGAAUAAGGCGCAAAUGAAAAAAUGCUGUUGCCAAAAAACCUUGCUCCGCUCAAACAGAGAGCUCUCAGAAAGAGGGAGAGGAAGGGGGAGCGGACUUACUCUGUUCCAACAGUCCCGCCCACAACUCAGAGGUAAAUUUCUAAUCUUAAGAAGAUCCCAGUGGGACUUUAAGGUCCUAGGUUUUUUGUGGAGAUUUACUCACUUCUGCAACCAGCCUCUUGUGGUAUAUAGAGGAACUGCAACAUUGGAAAUUCCUGAUUUAGAUAUCAAGAUUUAAACAAAUAUUAUGAAUAGAAAUGGAAAGGAAAAAGUUUGAUUUUACACAAAAAUGUGUACACUCAAUUAAGUUUCAUAGUUCCUUUGUAGAAUCCAGCAAGUUAUAUAACAGAUGAUCAUUCAGUGUGUACAUGAAUGCAUAACAAUUUGGGCCUUUUUGUUUCAGCUCUGAAUGAACCAGUAGCCUGAUGAAGUGUUUCCCUGCUUUGGGCCAAACUUAAAAACAUUCCUCUUUGGACACUUCAUUUUUAUUAUUAUUUUAAUUAAUCCUUUCUUUUACUAAACCUAUUUUUGUAUUCAUUGUAUUUAUCUUUGUUAUCAUUAUGAAUACUGUCAAACUUUUUGCAUCUCCCUUAAAUAUUUUGUUUAUAAACCAAAUUAAAUUGUGUUGCCUUAUCUGUCAAAAGAAAUAUGUCAGUAUUGUUGUUUUUGUACAAAUAAAUGAACGUCUUCGUGCA
Long non-coding RNA from Oryzias latipes (Japanese medaka), 3200 nucleotides. RefSeq lists it as uncharacterized. The record is from RefSeq and is a predicted model, not a curated record. NCBI's taxonomy places the organism in Eukaryota, Metazoa, Chordata, Actinopteri, Beloniformes, Adrianichthyidae.